Molecule: ribosomal RNA, 446 nt
Filed under: uncultured bacterium
Lineage: Bacteria
Description: partial 16S ribosomal RNA
Rfam family: Bacterial small subunit ribosomal RNA
Source: RNAcentral
CCUACGGGGGGCAGCAGUCGAGAAUCAUUCACAAUGGGGGAAACCCUGAUGGUGCGACGCCGCGUGGGGGAAUGAAGGUCUUCGGAUUGUAAACCCCUGUCAUGUGGGAGCAAAUAAAAAAGAUAGUACCACAAGAGGAAGAGACGGCUAACUAUGUGCCAGCAGCCGCGGGAAUAAAGAGGUCUAAAGCGUUGUUCGGAAUCACUGGGCGUAAAGCGUGCGUAGGCGGUGUCGUAAGGCGUGAGUGAAAGGCGCGGGCUCAACCCGCGGACGGCACAUGAUACUGCGAGAUUAGAGUAAUGGAGGGGGAACCGGAAUUCUCGGUGUAGCAGUGAAAUGCGUAGAUAUCGAGAGGAACACUCGUGGCGAAGGCGGGUUCCUGGACAUUAACUGACGCUGAGGCACGAAGGCCAGGGGAGCGAAAGGGAUUAGAUACCCCGGUAGUC